This 68-nucleotide transfer RNA is filed under the name Rickettsiales bacterium. RNAcentral describes it as "tRNA-Met". It matches the Rfam family "tRNA". From Rfam's summary of the family: Transfer RNA (tRNA) molecules are approximately 80 nucleotides in length. Lineage: Bacteria; Pseudomonadati; Pseudomonadota; Alphaproteobacteria; Rickettsiales. The record is from RNAcentral.
UCCAUAGUUUAAAGGUAGAACAAACCGCUCAUAACGGUUUUGUGUAGGUUCAAUUCCUGCUGGAACCA